GCCAGCUUCUCUGAAAUUUCCUUCAGCUUUCAGUGUUUACUACCUCAGAGAACACAGAGCUAUUCCUGUUAACAUGUCAACCACAUCAAACAAAGAGCUUCCUAAGUAGACACUUAGGGGAGAUUUCCAGUGAAGGGAAAAUUGCCAUAAUGCUGGUAAGUGGAUGAGCUGCCAUCGUUGGAAGGGAAUUAUGGGUGAGAGGAUAUGCCUGACUAAAUGUAAAAUCCAUUAAGGCACAUUGCAAUUAAAGACGAUUCCUUAAAGAGCUCCCUUCAAAAAUGAGCUGCUAGGGAGAUGGAACCAAGAGCCCUAUGUUGUCGCGGGAUGGCUAUGAAGGACCACUGCCAGAUGAGCAUGAAAAGGGAGGAGAGGCUGCCUGACUGUGCAGAUAGGAGAUGAGUUUUGAGGAACCGCUGCUGAGACUGAAAGAGGAAAUCUAAAAAGAGACAGCAUGGACAAGUGGGGACUGGAGACUGAACAGAAAGGAAGGUCACACAGAGGUCCGUGUUCGGGUGAGGGAGAAAGGACAAGAUGGAAGAAGGUAAAGAAGGUAAACAAGAUGGCGCAGUUCCGGGUUCUCCAUCAGCGACUUUCCCACGCUCAGGAAAAACUCCCGUGCCCAGGAACAACACGGAUUGUCUGCGCCUGCGCAUUGUGACGUCAAAAUAAAGAAACCAAAACUUACCCAGCCACGCCUAUGGAGACGCCCUUACCCCCGCCCCUGUCCUGCCCACCUCAAGCCCCAUCCAUAAAAGGCCGCUCCCGGAAGACAUCUGUGUGAACUUCCUCGGCCCCUCCUCAUAUGCGGACCUAGGAGUCUUGCCUGAGAACGCCGGAGCGACUUCCUCGGCCUCCACUGCCAGAGACCAGUGAACCUCGCCCUUUCCUCCUUCACAUUGGCUAGCUAAUAAAGUUUUUUUACCUUGCCUACGUGCCUCAUCUCUGGCGCCUGCUCCGGUGGUCGCAUAAAACAAAUCAGUCAGGAAGAAUCCAAACACACAGGCCUUGCCAGGCUCCCCCUCAGGCUGUCACCUUUAGAUCACACUCUUCAAUCCAGUUAUGUUUCUACCUGACUGUCUGUUUUUCAUCAAACCUAAGAAUAAAAAUGCACAUUUCCCGCUGAGGCUUUGGCUCUUCGUUUCUGAAGGCUCCCACAUCACAUAAAACUUUGAUUAAAUAAAUGUGCUUGCUUUUCUCUUGUUAACCCAUCUUUUGUUACAGGAGUGUAUGCUGCGACCUUAUGAUGGGUGAGGAAAGAGACUACAACUUUCCACCCCUACAGUACAGUUGUCGAAACUAAGAAACCGACAUUGGCAUAUUACUACAGACUUGAUUCAGACUUGAUCAUUUUUAUCACUAAGGCCCUUUAUGUGUUUAAGGAUCAAAUCCAGAAUACCACAUUGCAUUUAGCCAACAUAGUAUUUUAAAUCACAACCUUCCUGUGAAUGGGGAUAAGAUUAACUAUAGUUAUGAAUUCUAAAAAGAAGGAUGUCAUAGCAUAAUGAAUCAUAGUCACCUGCUGACUUUUGUUUUUAAUAAAAGGGUGCUAUACUAUGCAAAACCUGUUUCCUAAUAAAGCAUGGUUGGAGCAUUGUCCUUUGAUUACAAAAUUAACUUUUCUUGUUGACUUUCAUUAUAAUUCCAGAAUAUUUUAUCCUUGUUGCUGAAUGAGCUUCAAUAGACAGUGCUUCCUAACACUUAACUUUAAUUUCCCUCUUUUCAUACCUUUGAGCAGUUAAUGAUCUAUAAACAUAUUCUUACUUGCAUUAAGAUGUUGAUGCGGCUUUCUUCUUUUGUAAUUUUUUUUUAAUCUGUC
Papio anubis (olive baboon) is the source of this 1816-nucleotide long non-coding RNA. Lineage: Eukaryota; Metazoa; Chordata; Mammalia; Primates; Cercopithecidae. The record is from Ensembl.